Molecule: long non-coding RNA, 1949 nt
Organism: Vombatus ursinus (common wombat)
Lineage: Eukaryota; Metazoa; Chordata; Mammalia; Diprotodontia; Vombatidae
Exons: 3
Source: RefSeq, a predicted model, not a curated record
CAGAAGCCCGGCUCUCCUCUGCUUCCCGAUCAGCUGCCGCCUAGUGAGGCUUUAGCAACAGGUAAACCUGCUCGCUGCCUCUCAGUCCAGCCCCGCUGUUGGAAGACUUUCCCUAGCCCACAAUUCUGGUGACCUCCGAUUUUUUUUUAAGUUGAAUUUCCUUCUACAGUGACUUUUUAACCCCAUCCACCCCGUAGUCCUCGGGGCAGAGAGAUUGCUGGGGUAGAUCACAGAACUUCUUGUCUUCCGGAGAAAAAAAAGUAUGCAGUGCUUUUAACCUGGGAAUGUGCAGUUUCUCCAACUGCUGAAACCCAGCCUGCUCUAUGGAAAGGCAACCCUGGGCUUGGUCUCUGCUUUAUUUUCCUGCCUCGUGCUCCGCAUUUGGGAGCUUUUUGCAAACUUUUGCAAACCCCCUGCAAACAGGAGGUAAAGCUCAUGCAGGUAUGAGGGCGGUAAGUUAAACCUAGGAAUUUGGAACUUUUCUGCUUGGAGAAGUAUAAGCAGCCAAUUUUGCAACUGCGGCAUUUAAAGGAGAAUGGAACUUUGGAUGCAACUGUUUUGGUGCUGGUGGAGCGAACUCACGCCCCUGGCCAGCCUUUUCGGCGACUAGUGCCAAGAGUCCUCGUUCACCAGCGCCGCCCCUUUAAGAGAUUUAGACUGACUGCAGACAUUUUGUAACUUUUUAAAGGGGGAAAAGGGCAGUUCCCAGAAGGAAAACAGACCGUGACCCGGUGAAAGAACCGUCUCUGCUCCCCAGCUGUUCCCCUGGGAGAUGGAACGGAGCCCAAGCAGCUCUAUGACCGCACUAGUAGAGACCCGGCUGCUCAGGAGUGGCCAAGGACCUCUGCCGCUGUGCCCAGGGCCGAGACUGAAAACCAUUUUUUUUUUUUUUUGCUCGUGGGUGGGAUUUCCCCAGAGCAAAGGGCAAACAAAUCUUUAGCGGGUAACAAUGAGGAUUAGGAGUACAAGUCGUCUGCGUCGUUUGUCUUGGCUGCAGCUCUACCUACCUACCCGAGGUCCACCCUCUCUAGCCCGUCUCCCAGUGGAAGAAAGAGAAGGAUGCAGGCCUUUGUUUCUUCUAUCCAAAGGAAGGGAAGAGAGUUAGCAUUUUCAUUACCAUCCAACUAACCCCAGUAAAGAAGCAAAGCAACUGAGAGAGAUGCCCUAGCCGGAAUACUUUGGCUCUCACCCUAGCCGUGCAGAAAGGAAGCAGGAUCUUCCAUCUACAUCUCCAGAAAGUUGCUGGCAAAGUGAAGGAGCUACCUAAUAAAGAGUCCUCUCAGCCCAGCUUCCCAGGACAACCAAGGAAGAGGUGAAGAAGCCAGUACUGCACAAGCACAGAGCCUGCCAACCCAGUGAUUCUGGAGACUGAAGAAUUAAUUCAUAAUCCAAACCCCACCACCACUGUGGCAGAGAAAGGGGCCUGCAUGGCAAGUGGAAAUGCCUAGGCAAGGGGCAGCCUUGGCUCUGUCUGGAGGAAGUUUGGCGAGCUCCAAAGAGGACACGGAUCCCCUUCCAUGCCAAGCGGUCCACCACAUCUAAAAUUAAGGUGGUAGAACUUAUUUCUUGUUCUGGGCCCAUCUCUUCACCCCCUCACUUACCAUUAAUGCUGUGGAGUUUUUCCAAUAUUCCAGUCUUUUAAGAGGAGAUUAUUUUAACUAUAAUUUGCAACAUAAGUGACUGCUUCAUAGAGCAAAGUACAUGAUGAAAUUAACCAAGCAGUUCAUUAAAAAAACAAAACUUGCUGUUAAUAAUUCACAUUUCUAUAGCAUACACUUAGCAAGUUACUAAGGGCUUUCCUUACCAAAAAAAACCUUGGAGUUGAAUAGUCUUAUGCUCUUUAGCCUAUUAAAGCUAAAAAGACCAAGGCUCCCAGUGGCUGAAUAAAGGGGGGGGGAGGAAUAAGCAAUUAUAUGGUGCCUACUACAUGCCAGGCAUUGUGCUAAGUG